This 409-nucleotide ribosomal RNA is filed under the name Lactococcus garvieae. Its description in RNAcentral is "bacterial SSU rRNA". It matches the Rfam family "Bacterial small subunit ribosomal RNA", at positions 16 to 413 of the family's 1533-position model. Lineage: Bacteria; Bacillati; Bacillota; Bacilli; Lactobacillales; Streptococcaceae. The record is from RNAcentral.
AUCCUGGCUCAGGACGAACGCUGGCGGCGUGCCUAAUACAUGCAAGUCGAGCGAUGAUUAAAGAUAGCUUGCUAUUUUUAUGAAGAGCGGCGAACGGGUGAGUAACGCGUGGGAAAUCUGCCGAGUAGCGGGGGACAACGUUUGGAAACGAACGCUAAUACCGCAUAACAAUGAGAAUCGCAUGAUUCUUAUUUGAAAGAAGCAAUUGCUUCACUACUUGAUGAUCCCGCGUUGUAUUAGCUAGUUGGUAGUGUAAAGGACUACCAAGGCGAUGAUACAUAGCCGACCUGAGAGGGUGAUCGGCCACACUGGGACUGAGACACGGCCCAGACUCCUACGGGAGGCAGCAGUAGGGAAUCUUCGGCAAUGGGGGCAACCCUGACCGAGCAACGCCGCGUGAGUGAAGAAG